GAUGAACGCUGGCGGCGUGCCUAAUACAUGCAAGUCGAGCGAACAGACGAGGAGCUUGCUCCUCUGACGUUAGCGGCGGACGGGUGAGUAACACGUGGAUAACCUACCUAUAAGACUGGGAUAUCUUCGGGAAACCGGAGCUAAUACCGGAUAAUAUUUUGAACCGCAUGGUUCAAUAGUGAAAGACGGUUUUGCUGUCACUUAUAGAUGGAUCCGCGCCGCAUUAGCUAGUUGGUAAGGUAACGGCUUACCAAGGCAACGAUGCGUAGCCGACCUGAGAGGGUGAUCGGCCACACUGGAACUGAGACACGGUCCAGACUCCUACGGGAGGCAGCAGUAGGGAAUCUUCCGCAAUGGGCGAAAGCCUGACGGAGCAACGCCGCGUGAGUGAUGAAGGUCUUCGGAUCGUAAAACUCUGUUAUUAGGGAAGAACAAAUGUGUAAGUAACUAUGCACGUCUUGACGGUACCUAAUCAGAAAGCCACGGCUAACUACGUG
This 497-nucleotide ribosomal RNA is filed under the name uncultured bacterium. RNAcentral's name for it is "partial 16S ribosomal RNA". It matches the Rfam family "Bacterial small subunit ribosomal RNA", at positions 28 to 507 of the family's 1533-position model. The record is from RNAcentral.